UAAGGAAUAUUGGACAAUGGUCGCAAGACUGAUCCAGCCAUGCCGCGUGCAGGAAGACGGCCCUAUGGGUUGUAAACUGCUUUUGUACCAGAGAAAACCUAUCUACGUGUAGAUAGCUGAUAGUAUGGUAAGAAUAAGCAUCGGCUAACUUCGUGCCAGCAGCCGCGGUAAGACGAAGGAUGCAAGCGUUAUCCGGAUUCAUUGGGUUUAAAGGGUGCGUAGGCGGGCUUGUAAGUCAGUGGUGAAAUCUCUCAGCUUAACUGAGAAACUGCCAUUGAUACUGCAGUCCUAGAGUAUAGAUGACGUUGGCGGAAUAUGACAUGUAGUGGUGAAAUACUUAGAUAUGUCAUAGAACACCGAUUGCGAAGGCAGCUAACGAAACUAUAACUGACGCUGAGGCACGAAAGUGCGGGGAUCAAACA
RNAcentral lists this ribosomal RNA (422 nucleotides) under uncultured bacterium. RNAcentral describes it as "bacterial SSU rRNA". It matches the Rfam family "Bacterial small subunit ribosomal RNA", at positions 355 to 774 of the family's 1533-position model. The record is from RNAcentral.